This 81-nucleotide microRNA precursor is filed under the name Schmidtea mediterranea. RNAcentral's name for it is "microRNA sme-mir-277d precursor". Its record names the gene sme-mir-277d. The record is from miRBase by way of RNAcentral. Lineage: Eukaryota; Metazoa; Platyhelminthes; Tricladida; Dugesiidae.
AAGCAUCAAAAAUGUUGGUUAGUUGUGCAUUUUCAUUAAAUAUUAUGUAAAUGCAUUUAUCUGGCCAAGAAAUAGUUGCUU